Sphaerobolus stellatus SS14 is the source of this 92-nucleotide transfer RNA. It matches the Rfam family "tRNA". Rfam says of the family: Transfer RNA (tRNA) molecules are approximately 80 nucleotides in length. The record is from Rfam. Lineage: Eukaryota; Fungi; Basidiomycota; Agaricomycetes; Geastrales; Sphaerobolaceae.
GGCGAGAUGGCCGAGUUGGUCUAAGGCGUGAGACUAAGGUUUCUCCUAAUCUCAUCUCUUCGGAGGCGUGGGUUCAAAUCCCACUUUCGUCA